UCAUUCUGGUGUGUAGUUGUUGUUUGGUCUCUCCUACGUAUUUUCCAUCAGGGCAUUUGGUGCAUUGGAUAAGAUACAUUACAUUUCUGGAGAUGCAGCUGUAAGAUCCAGGAAUGCUGAUGGCUCUGUUGUGCGGUGUAGUAAUUGUAGGGGUGUUGGCAGGUUUUGCAUUUCUUGUCGUGGCACAGUCUGGAUCCUUUUGGUGUGUUCUGGGCUUGAGGAAGUUUGCUUCUGGUGAUGAGGUUGGCGAGGUUUGGUGCUUGUUUGAAGGCUAGGAUGGGUGGCUCUGGAAAGAUCUUUUUAAGAAUAGGGUCUCUUUCUAGUAUGGGUUGCAAUUGUUUGAGGAUUUUCCAUGCAGGUUCAAGGGAGGGGUGAUAUGUCAUAACCAGCGGUGUGUGAUUUGUGGGGGUGUCACAGAGCACGGAGGUGCCCUGCUCCCAAAGAGGGGGAAAACUGCUAGGGAGGAAGCCCUAGCAGGAAAUAAGAAGCCCAGCUGUGGGUUGCCUGGGCAACCAGGGAAGGUCAGCUGACCAGAACGGGCAGGGCCUGGCUCCCUUAUAAACCCUAGGGGCUGGGGCUAGGGGCAGUUCCCUGCCAGCUACUAAAGAGGAAGGAGCUCUCUGCCCUGGGAGAGAAGGGAAACCUGAUGCAGGAGCUGCAUCUGAGAGUUAAAGGGUCAUUGAUAGACUUGCUGUGUGUGACUGGAAAUCUAUCCUGACGUUAUCUUCAGUGCUUGAGGGAAGCAGGCAUGUAGACUUCAUAAUUUUACAAGAAGGAAGCAAAUUUACCAUCUUGGAACCUGAAAGCUGACACCCUGGCUCCUGCCUAUUGUUCCAGCUACAUCUGCAUGUUCACAGAGCUCAAUGCUGCCUCAAUACAGGAGAAAUUCCUUGCCUAGGAAGGAGAACAUUCCCUCACCCCAUCCUCCUGUGAAAUGCGUAAUUCAACAUCCUGCUUGACACCAGUCAACAUUGAGGUUUAAACACACUAGUGAAGAUGACCUUUCAUAGGCAGAACCAGGAUUUUAAAAAGAGAGUUACGAGAGCACCAACUGGUGCUGCAGGGAUGGCUGCGCUCCCUGCCCUUUCAGAACAGCCAACCAAGCUAUGGGAGCAACAGCUCGGACUUCUAAAAAAAUCCUCCAUUCAGGUCAGAGCAACCCUCAAAGUGAGUCGUGCUGUUAAAAUGAAGACAAAACGGUGAGACCUGGACAUUAGGAUGAGUUAACAGUUCCUCCAGCUCUGUGCUUUCUGUUCCCUACUUGACAGAAAUACAAAGCAACAAAGCUAGCCUUCUGCCAGCAUUUCUCCUUCUGUUGUAGGGGAAUUGUAUGGCACAGGUGAAAAAAAUGAUACAUUCACCACUUGGAUGAAGACUUAUAAAAUACUCUAUCUAAAGUACAAUGUAUCUCUUUGCUUUUUUCUGUUUAUUUCUAUUUGCAUGACUCCAAAACUAUUGUUUCUGUAUUUAUAUUUAACACAGUAACAAACCACUCAAUGACUGGUGAAUUUAUUGGAACCUAAAGUGAGCUACUUAUGUUAGCAGAGAAAAUGAAUGGACAGAUACAAAUUAAUAUAAUAAUCCUAAUCUAACUCAAUUUCCCAAAUGUUUAAUUUCUACAUAGGCAGGUUUCAUAGGGAGGAGAUGGUAAAAAACUGUUUAUUACUCAUCAAAUGUGUCUUAAUUUUUGGGCCUUCAGCUGACUUUUGGCAGUCCUGCUAUAUCAUCAUCUUGAUCUUAAUUCCAGAAUAACACUUCUCAUGGAUAUAAAUCAUGUAUUUUGAUCCUACUGCUUUACUUCAUUAAAUCCUGUUUCAAAGUUUAGUUUAUUCAUCAGCAUUAUUCAAGAUCUCCUGAUUUAACCCUAUCUCUCUCCUUCUAUCCCUUCUAUCUGCAUUGUCUUCAGUAAGUGUUUGUAUUACUUUUCUCUUUCCAAAUCCCUUUCUUAUGCAUGAUCAGAGAGUAGCAGUACCCUCACCGGAAGUCAAGCUAUGAAGCACUAUAAAAUGCAUCAAAAUACAUUUAUGUUGGAAAUACCAUUUCCCUAGUUCACAAACAGUUCUUUUAAGUAUCCCCAUCUUUGAAAAGAAAAAAGAAAACAGGAAAGUUAAUGUUUUAAAUUUCAGGGGUACAUUGACAGGGUAAACCUUGGUAAAGUCGAGGCUAUGUCUGGGUUGGGUAACAGCAAAGACCUACUGAUACUAGUAUAGCCCUACUUUGGCAAUACACUUGAUAUGCUGAAAAAGGUGACCAGGCUAAGACAAGUGGUUUUGCCCAGGUGAGGGUAUUACUAAGUAAUGAACCACCUGGUGAGUCUAAUUAAGGAUCACUUGGCAAAGAGAAGUUAUAAGAGGAAGGGGUAUUCACUCCUCAUUUGUUGAGAAUGCAGCAGCUGGUUUCAAGGGGUAUUGUAUUAAGAUGUGAAGGACAGGUAUGAGUAGAAGGAUCUCUGAAUGCCCUGGUAGCCUUUGAUCAUGUUGAAAAAUUUUCUUCAGUAGUGAGAAGGCUGAUAUCUGGAAUGCUGAAAGUCGCUUGCCAGAGAGGCAGUAAAAGAAGUUGUAUUAAAUUGUGACCUGUGCUUGCUGCUGAAUGGAAGAUACUUCCUGUUGAGUGAUAAGAAAAAGGACCAUUAAGCAUCAGAUUUGACUCUUCACUUCCAUGCAUCAAUACCUUUUCCCCUGCUAAUCCAGCUGAUUUCCCUUAAGUGAAACCUACUUCUGAUACUGUUGUUUGCAUUCAUGGUGCCUCUAGCUCCAUUGUAUAUCUUGUGGGAAAAAAAACAUCCCAGAAGGGGACUUGUAGCAUGGAAGGUCUGUAAAUGGGGGGAACACAUCAUUCAGAAUGACUACACUCUCUGGACACCACCAUUUGCAAUGUCUGGCAUGUUACAAAUCAGGCCCUUUACUGAUAGGAGGUGUCAGGGAAGGCAUAAAGUACCUACUAGCACUUUGCCUAGCACUGGCCAAUGAUAUUGAUUGCUGGAUACGUUAUUUUAGGAGGCAUAUUUCUCAAUUUUUCAAAAGGUCAUGUAAGUUUUGGACUUAUUUAGCUGAUUUAACCAAAAUUGUUUGACAAAGAAGAAAAGUUAGAUGAAUAUAAUUAAACAAAGACACGCUUCCUUAUCUUUUUUUUUUUUCUUUCAAACACCCCUGUUUAUUUUUGACUAAUGUACUGUCAGUACCAUCUUGCUCAUCUUACUCAAUGCUCCCACUGAGAAUGUGUGCCAGACUGAGCAUUAAAACUAUCUCAAGCUGCUUCGUUGUAGGCAAGAGCCUCUGCCAUGAAAGCUGUAUUUCUUAGGAUAUUUUCUAAUUGGUCCUUUCUCCAGCCAUCUUCUGCUGGCUGCUGUUUGCAGUCACCGGUCUCUCCUCCUAUAUUGACUUCUUUGCUGUUCAUCUUUUCAACCAGGCAUUUUGUUCCAAUAAUGGCUCUACGGGAAACUUCUCUCUUUCAUGCAACAAAUGGUGGUGACUUGCUUGUGGACUCAGCAGGCUAUUUUAAAAGGUCCGAGUGGUUCAGCUGAAGUGCCAUCUUAAAGCACAGAUAAAAAUUAGAAAUAGCAAUGUAUUGGCUGAAGCUGGCCAGAAGCAGACCCUCAAAUUCAAAUUUCUGUGGAUUUAAUCAUGAGUUACGACUUGUCCCUAUAGUUCUGGUAUACUGGAUAGCUCUAUGCCCAGAUGGUUCUCUUCUUCCAGUUCCUGUUUGAAUAUAAUUGAAAUCAUAGGGCAUUUGUACACGUUUGCACCGCAACACUGGGUGCUUUGAAAAGCACCUGGCACUGCAGCACAUGCAGUUAUUUAAGCAGCGAAAUGUGCGUCUGCACUAAGAAAAUGGCUGCAGCGCAUUUCUGAACUAAAACAUCAACAGUUUUUUAGUUCAAAAGCUCACCACUACCAUUUUCUGCACACUGAUGUGCAUUUCACCGCUUAUACAACUGCACGCAAAGCAGUACAGUGUGCAUCAGCUCAUGUGCGGAUCUUCAGCAGGUCACGGGACAAAGAUACGUAUAUAAAUGCCCAUAGUCAGCAUUCACAGUUUCUGCUUCAUCAAAUCUUGAGUACGUUGUUUAGCUCAUGUUUCUUUCAAAUCCCAACCACAUAAUUUUAAACCAACCUUGAAACCAAAUCACUGUUUUCUCUGCUUGUAUCUAAACAAUUCAUAAAAUGUGUGGUAUAACUUUUUUUUAUUUAAAAAAAAAAAAAGCAACAAACCAAAAAUAUCUUCAGUUUUAUAAAUAUAUUGGUAACACAUGGCAACUGCAUGGGAGGAAUAUAGUUUGUGUGAGAUUACACGUUACAAUUAGCUGAUGUUAAGAGCACUUUAAAAUUUGAAUGAUUACAUACUAAGGCUUGUUAACCAGUGCUAAGUGCUCUCUAGGCACCUUCAAGUUACGCCACUUCAGGCGAGGACUGCCUGUGAGCUGUGCUACCUAGCUUGAACUAAAUUAAUUUCUGGGUGUCCACCUAAGAUAAAACCACCAAUUUGCCGUUUCCCAGUAUCCCAGGAGGAACUGCUCCCAAGUGGAUUAGCCAUCAUCCAACAUGUAUGGCCUUGGACUGACAGCUGGGAACA
Long non-coding RNA from Alligator mississippiensis (American alligator), 4572 nucleotides. RefSeq lists it as uncharacterized. The transcript is spliced from 6 exons. NCBI's taxonomy places the organism in Eukaryota, Metazoa, Chordata, Crocodylia, Alligatoridae. The record is from RefSeq and is a predicted model, not a curated record.